This 350-nucleotide RNase P RNA is filed under the name Candidatus Woesebacteria bacterium RIFCSPHIGHO2_01_FULL_38_10. RNAcentral describes it as "RNase P RNA component class A". It matches the Rfam family "Bacterial RNase P class A". From Rfam's summary of the family: Ribonuclease P (RNase P) is a ubiquitous endoribonuclease, found in archaea, bacteria and eukarya as well as chloroplasts and mitochondria. Lineage: Bacteria; Candidatus Woeseibacteriota. The record is from RNAcentral.
UCUGGAAGAAGGACAGUCGCCAGGUACCGUACGGUACGUGGAGGAAAGUCCAGGCAGCAGAAGGCAGGGUGCGCGGCGUAAGCCGUGAUCGGUAACGACUAGUGGUUCUGAUUCGAAAGACGAUGAACACGUAUCUCGAAGUAACGGGACGCGAGAGCAACAGAGACGAGUCUUUUGUUUUUCUAAAGAAAACAGAAAGAGUGAAACGGGCAAUCCUCCCCGCUGCAACCUCUGAAAAGAGCGCCAUAAGGAUGCCUUCCCGAUCGAGUCUGACUCGAGCGCUCUAAGAUUGAGGGCUAAGAUAGAUGACUGUCGAGGAACAGAACCUGGCUUACUAGCUUCCAGAGUUU